GGAAAACAAGAAGAAGUGAAAACUCACCUGAUCCAGACUCUGCUCUGCUGCUAAAUGGAGUCUGAACUGGUUAGUCCUGAUCCUGAUCCAUACCUGAGGCUCCGCCCCCUUCCAGGAAAUCAUUUCAGGAAGGAACCAGAAGAUUCAGGAGUCUGGGAGAUGUGACUGUAACCGACCUGAAAACUGAGGCCCCAGAGCGCCCCCUGCAGGAUCUGCUGCACCAUCACCGUUUCCAGCAGCAAAUCAAUCAUCUGUUGGUCCAGACAGAAAAGCUGAAGCUGUCAGUGAAGCAGAUCUGAAGCUGAGCAUCAGAAACCCAGAAGAACCGGAAGCAUCAGCAGGAGAUGAACUGGACCUCUAGGAUUACUGAUGCUGCAGCUGAGGAAGAGGAGGACGAUGAAGGUGAAGCUGCCAUCCUCACACUUCCUGUUUAUCAACCCAAGAAAGCAGAAAACCUGCAGAAAAUCAGCUGAAGAAGAACCACGAGGAGCUGGAGACGACCUGCGCCCUCUAGUGGCUGAUUGAACUACUGCACUGGGAGAACUGGACCUUGACGCUACUGCAGCUCAGCGGCUGGUUUCUCUCUGAAUGGACCAAUCAGAACCAAACAGGAAGUAGAUUCAGCUCUGAGACAACUAUUUACAACUACAUACUUACACAUAUGUACAACAUUUUAGUGUUUCUAAACACUUUUAUUUAGAAAAACAUAAAAAACUAUCAGCAGUUUUCAGAGGAAAGUUUUAAAACAUUAAAACUUAACCUUUGAAAUCAAACCAUAUAAUUGUUUACUGAAAUAUUUCUUCAUUGCUCCUGUAACAAUAAAACGUAAUAAAUA
Xiphophorus hellerii (green swordtail) is the source of this 835-nucleotide long non-coding RNA. RefSeq lists it as uncharacterized. The transcript has 2 exons. The record is from RefSeq and is a predicted model, not a curated record. NCBI's taxonomy places the organism in Eukaryota, Metazoa, Chordata, Actinopteri, Cyprinodontiformes, Poeciliidae.